This 24-nucleotide non-coding RNA is filed under the name Arabidopsis thaliana (thale cress). The record is from RNAcentral. Lineage: Eukaryota; Viridiplantae; Streptophyta; Magnoliopsida; Brassicales; Brassicaceae.
GGUGAGUGGAAUGGUCCUGGGCGC